ACCGUCUCGCAAGAGUUGCAAACCACACGAACUUGCGUGAACGGGUGUCUGCUAGCAGCGAUUGUUAUGCAGAUACUUUCUAGCUGGUUUUCUCGUUCAGGAUUUUAGGCGCGCUAUUUAGUGAUUGACAGUUAUAACGAUGGUUUUCCUGAGGGCUCAACACAUUAAGUUUUUCCAGAGAUGUCUCACUGUUCUCCCCUGCGCUAUGUCAUCUUUGGACGAAAUGAGAAUGACUGUAGCCUAUUUCGCAGUUUCUGGACUAGAUCUGCUGAACGCUCUCGAUACAAUAGGAAACAAAAAACACAUCGUCGAAUGGAUAUACUCACUCCAGGUCCUGCCAAAUAAGGAUCGGACUAAUCUUGACCGGUGUGGUUUCAAGGGAUCACAUGCUACUGGCUUCAAAGGGAAUGAUUUGGAUGAUAAUGCCAGCAGUUUGAACUGUGGCCACAUUGCCAUGACCUACACUGCCUUGGCCACCCUCAUUAUACUCGGUGAUGAUUUGAGCAGAGUGGACAGGUUUGCCAUCAUGCAAGGUCUCAAAGCACUCCAGCAGGAGUCUGGAAGCUUUACAGCUCUCAUCCAUGGGAGUGAGGACGACAUGCGAUUUGUCUACUGUGCUGCAGCAAUAUGCUGUUUGCUGCAUGACUGGUCUGGAUUUGACAAAGAAAAGGCUGUGAGCUUCAUUCAGAGCUGUUAUGGCUAUGAUGGAGGAAUAUCGCCAUAUCCAGGAACAGAAUCACAUGGGGGCUCGACAUACUGUGCGGUGGCCUCACUCGUCCUCAUGGGGCAGCUGCACUCAGCGCUGAGUGAACAACAGUUACGCAGCCUGCAGCGAUGGUGUCUGAACCGGCAGUUGACGGGAUUCCAGGGUCGUCCGAACAAACCCAUCGACACUUGUUACUCUUUUUGGGUAGGCGCAGCCCUCAAGCUUCUAGGUGCCUUCCAGUUUGUGAACCAGAAGGAGAACCUAGAAUUUCUCUAUUCGACUCAGGAUGCAAUCACAGGUGGCUUCAGCAAGUGGCCCGACAGUGACCCUGUGCGCUGGAAGCCACACAGUGGAGAUGCCAAGAGAGCAAAGCCCCAGCCAAAAGUUGUGUCGUAGCGGCAAAACGGCUUUUCACGAUGCCUGGUUGAGAAAAAGCUGAAGUUACAGGAACACAGUCUGGACAUUUCAAGGAGGAGACUUACUUAGGUAGUUAAGACCUUUGCCAGAUCAAGUGCCUCAUCUCUGGUGAUGAGCAAGGAGAAGGAAGGAUUUACCUGGCCAUGCCUAUGCUACCAUUCUGAAAGCAGAACAUCAUUGGGGUUCAUGGAGAAGAGACCUAUGUGCGCGUCUGCAGCAUCUUGCUUUGCUGGAAGGGCUCGCAAUGGCAUGGAAGUGUAGUGCUGUCACUUCCCUUUCUUUUGUGACACUGGAUUAUUUGGCAUUCAGCAACAGGCCCCUAUGCGGGGUGCUCAUGGCUUGCGACACAGAGGAAGGUUGUGAAACGAAGGAGACAACAAAUGUGUUUCUGUGCUUUAUUUGCAACUUUUUUCCCAUUUUUUUUUUUCUGCAGUGUCCCCAGUUUUUAAUGAACAUUUGUCAACUUCUCCAACUCUCUCUUCUCCUGAAUGCACGGAGUGCAAAGACAAAGCUAUCACCUGCCCAAAUUUCCAGGCUGUACAGGGACCACCAUUUACAGCUAUUGUUGCCACUACUGCUUCCACGGCUAGUUAUCCAAUCUGAAUGACAUUACAGAACAUAUUCCUUAUGGCUAGCAGAGACCUUUUAAAUGUUUCUGUACUGAAAACAAAGACAUGUAAUAUUUCGCUGAGGCAUACCAUGUUAAUUUUAUAGUUAGACUAUAUUAUUUGACACAUAGCCUCAAUGCCUCUGGCACAUAGAAACAAGAGACUGAAAAUAAAAUUUUGUUUCAAUUUUACAUUUGUUGACAGUUGAAAUUGGUACUAACCAGGUA
This 1958-nucleotide unclassified non-coding RNA is filed under the name Dermacentor andersoni. RNAcentral describes it as "geranylgeranyl transferase type-1 subunit beta-like". The record is from RNAcentral. Lineage: Eukaryota; Metazoa; Arthropoda; Arachnida; Ixodida; Ixodidae.